Asparagus officinalis (garden asparagus) is the source of this 705-nucleotide long non-coding RNA. RefSeq lists it as uncharacterized. The record is from RefSeq and is a predicted model, not a curated record. The transcript is spliced from 2 exons. Lineage: Eukaryota; Viridiplantae; Streptophyta; Magnoliopsida; Asparagales; Asparagaceae.
UAGCUGAGGUAAAAAGGUAUAAAGGGGAAGUAUAGCUACUUUAGCUAUUUCCGUCAUUGAGAGAAUUAAUAUGUUGCUUUGAAAGAAAAAAGAAAAAAAAUUGCCAAAAGAAUUUUGUUUGCAGUUUUCUUUAUGUAUAUCUUGUCGGAUUUUCAAAAAUAAUUUUGGUCAUCCGGAGAAAAUCUCGAAGGUUGGUAUGAGGCUUGACGAGAAAAAGUGGCUCAUUGUGCAAUGACGAUUAAGUUUGAUAAAAGAUUUAAGGUUCCCAGCUUAGUUUGGUUUAUUUUGCCAGUAUCAUGGCUCGGAGGUUUUAUUGGUUUCCUGCAUCAAUGUUUAUAAUUUGCUGGUUUUUGUUGUUUCUAUCUUUCAUUAUGAAUUACAAUCCAUGAAAGAGUAAUAGCCUCAGUACUUACAUACAAUGUAAAAACCUCACCUGCCUAUUUUCUUCCUUCAAUAUUGUAAGAGGCCUCUUAAUUAGUUCUCCACCACGCAUGAACCAAAAUCAACCAUGGCUACCGUACUCAUUAUGAAUGAAAUAUGACGCGCGCACUGCCAUCUCUUGGUUUUGGAUCCUUCUGAGGUAGUGCUGGUGUCUUAGUUUCAGUGGUUUACUUGACACAAUCAGGUUCUGUUAUUAAAAAUAUUACUGUCACCGUGUAUGCUUCAUAUGAAACCUCUUCCUCUAUGUGUGUAUCCUUUUUCUAA